UACAGAGGUGGCAAGCGUUGUUCGGAAUUACUGGGCGUAAAGGGCGCGUAGGCGGCCAUCUAAGUCAGACGUGAAAUCCCCCGGCUUAACCUGGGAACUGCGUCUGAUACUGGACGGCUUGAGUAUGGGAGAGGGAUGUAGAAUUCCAGGUGUAGCGGUGAAAUGCGUAGAUAUCGUCAAGAACACCGAUAGUGUAGACAGCUUACUAGGCUACAACUGACGCUGAGGCACGAAAGUGUGGGGAUCAAACAGG
RNAcentral lists this ribosomal RNA (253 nucleotides) under uncultured bacterium. Its description in RNAcentral is "partial 16S ribosomal RNA". It matches the Rfam family "Bacterial small subunit ribosomal RNA", at positions 524 to 776 of the family's 1533-position model. The record is from RNAcentral.